GUGGAUUAGAUACCCGGGUAGUCCACGCCGUAAACGAUGAAUACUAGGUGUGGGGGUUGUCAUGACCUCCGUGCCGCCGCUAACGCAUUAAGUAUUCCGCCUGGGGAGUACGGUCGCAAGAUUAAAACUCAAAGGAAUUGACGGGGGCCCGCACAAGCAGCGGAGCAUGUGGUUUAAUUCGAAGCAACGCGAAGAACCUUACCUAGACUUGACAUCUCCUGAAUUACUCUUAAUCGAGGAAGCCCUUCGGGGCAGGAAGACAGGUGGUGCACGGUCGUCGCCAGCU
This 286-nucleotide ribosomal RNA is filed under the name uncultured bacterium. RNAcentral's name for it is "partial 16S ribosomal RNA". It matches the Rfam family "Bacterial small subunit ribosomal RNA", at positions 773 to 1060 of the family's 1533-position model. The record is from RNAcentral.